Molecule: long non-coding RNA, 7495 nt
Organism: Astatotilapia calliptera (eastern happy)
Lineage: Eukaryota; Metazoa; Chordata; Actinopteri; Cichliformes; Cichlidae
Source: Ensembl
UAAUAAUCCUGUUGGCUUUUUAUUUACACUGUUAUUUUCUCAGUUUGGAUAAUUUAAUAGGUCAGGUACAAAUAAAUUGUUGUACAUAGUUUGAGAAAAUAAUGCAAAUACAGCUGGAAGAUUUCCAAACUUCAAUCCUUUUGUUUAUGCAGAACAUAGUUUGUAACAAAAACAUAAAGUGGAAAUAUGUACAGUGACUUUUAUCAUUUUUCUUUUCAACGGGAUUUUCCAGGACACCUAACAGCCUGUCCAUUCUCUCGGCUCUUCCUUCCUCCGUUUCUCUUUGCUUUCUCAUGUCCUCUUAUUAAUUCAACAAAUUCAUCCUCCCUGUCCUUCUUUCUUUUGUCCGCUCUUGGCUCCGGCUGGCCCACAUCCUCCUGCUCUUCCUGGUCUGGCACUUGGUUGCCCACUACUGAACUGGGCCCUGUAGUGUCCUCCUGGAUACUUGCAAUCCUAAAGGUAGAGGAAAUCAAAAGUGGCAGUUGACAGGUUAACAUAAAUAACUUCAAAUUGUUUCUAUUUGGGCUGCAAAAGGGUGAUUUUCCCCGCCAGGCUCAUCUUCUCAAGCAAAAUGUACUAAAUUAGGACAACAAGACAGAGAAACCUCUCUCUCUUAUGCCUAACUGACUAAAAACCUCAUACUGUUGCUGGACCUCCACCCACAGCGGUGAACAGGUGUUCGUUGUCUCUGCAGAGUUGGAUGAACUCAGCCGUCUGCUCCUUACUCUCUAAAAUAUGACAGUAUUUGAGUAGAUUCUCGAUCAUCUAACACUUCUGUUUAAUCAGUUUUCUGUUUGACGUUUGUACAGCAUAUUCAGCUGUGUGAAGACUGCAAACUUUAAUGUCAGGCAAGCCGAUUUAUUGUGGAACAAAUAAAGCUCUGACAAAAGCCAAACAAUAAGGUUUUAAGGUUAUUUAAGUGAGUUAUAUAUCAUGUUCAACGUGAGUAGUGAGAGCACUUUUGCAAAUAUGUGAUGUCUUGAUAAAUCAAGCAGAUAUUUGAUGUGUACACAGCAACAUUCUCGCCUAAAAAUAUUUUGUGACCCAGAAAGAGUAAUAUUAAAACUAAUCCUUCUGUUUAAAAAAACAGUGGGACUUUGCAUUUACGGUCACGUAAGUUUAACAAGUGUCACAAGAUUCACCUUAACAUUCAAGAUUCAACUUCCAUCAACUUUUACAUCUUAACAUUUGUGUCGCUACUUCCAACAUAUCUUACAUGUAAAGAUGGAGGUGUCCUCCGCCGCCCUUUCUACCUUCUCCGCAGCUGAUGCUAUCGUUACAAACUGAAUUGGCCGGGUCACGCUAUGAAUCCUGGGAUAUGUUGGGCCACGAAGGCUACACCGACCCAGCCUUCACAUUUGGGCAAAUGAAGGCCGCAUUUGUCGGCUGCAUUUUAAUCCUUCAUCCCACACUGCACUGAGUUUGCACAUCUUGCAGGCUCAUCACAUCUUACCAGCAUCGUGUCACUGACCACCUCCUCCAGGGUGGCGAGCUUCAUGCUGACAACAGACUUAGCCUUCCUGAUGAAGUUAUUCCCUCUGUUUGCAUCCUUGUUUUGAAGCCUGUACGCUGGCAAAAACAGACUAUUAAAACUUAUGGAACAGCAAUAGGAAAUAUGGAUUUGGGAUGGGAAGUGAUAAGAAUUGAGCUAUUCCCUUAUUGAUUUGAUUCCUUAUCGAUUCUUUUAUCAAUGGUCGGUGGGUUCUGAUUGGCUAUGUUUUGAGAGUCACCACCAUUGCUAAGCAGCAAUAAAGAAAACGGGUUUGAUUUUUAUUUAGGAAUAAUAAUCUUUAGUUUUUUACUGAUAGAAUAAUUAGAAACCUGCAGACAUCAGUAUAAAGGAAUGUGUGGGGCCAGCUGUAGACAUGAUAACUGGCGCCUGAUAUCUGUCACAGCCACCUCAUAGUUCAGUGCCUGCGAAAAAAAGGGGGGCUUGUUUAGCGGCUGAUGUUUAUGAACCCAAAUUCUGCACAUGACUAAAUGAUGUAAGUGUAGAAGAAGUGGAGGGCCGAGUUUGCAAAGGUAGUGAAAAGAGAAAAACAAAUAUAGCUGAUUUUAUAGAGCCAUAUUGGCUGUUUGACUGUAGUAUUGAAUGAUUAAAUAUCUUUAAUCCCGGGCAAAGACAGCUGAUGCCCUUAAGUCAGGGGUGUCAAACUCCAGGCCUGAAGGGCCGGUGUCCUGCAUGUUUUAGAUCUCACCCUUGGUCAACAUACCUGAAUCAGAUGAUUAGUUCAUUAGCAGGCCUAUGGAGAACUUCAGGACAUGUUGAGGAGGUCAUUUAGCCAUUUAGAUUCAGGCCCAGGGGAGUGGUGGUCCUGUCUGGCCCAGAUGGUGAGCUUUGGCCCUGCACCUUUUUUCCCAGCCUUUAACUCUCACUGAGCAGAAUGAUGAUCUCGAGGACCAUGAGCUGCUAGCAGUGAAGUUGGCCCUACAGGGGCAGUGACACUGGCUGGACAACCUUUUACAGUAUGGACUGAUUACAAGAACUUGUCUUACUCUAGCAAGGUGGGUGUUCUCUUUUGACUUCACUAGAACGCACACAUUGUGAAACCAGAUGCUUUUCCUUGUCAGUCUUCUCCAGGGGAAGAUCUAGAGCCAGUGAACACCCUGCAUGCCACCUGCAUAGUGGGAAUGUUGACCAGAGAGAUUGAUCAUGAAAUCUAACAAGGGUUGCAGUCUGACCCAGAUCCUGACAAUGCCCAAUCCAGCCCCUGGCUUUCCUUCACUGGGCCCACACUGCUAGGUUCACCUGGAUAAGCAGAACAAGUCAAUUCCUUCAGCGAUAUCUCUGGUGGCCAUGUUUAAUGAAGAAUGUUAUGGAGUACAUAGGUGCCUGCAUGGUGUGCUCCAGAAGUAAGAGUAGCUCCUGGUCCCUAUCAGGUUUACCGCAGCCUCUUUCCAUGCCUCGUAUGCUCUGGUUUCACGUCGCAUUGGUUAGAUUUCUUAAUGCAGCUCAUUUAGAAAAUCUUCGUCGGGGGGUGCUUGAAGCCAAAGCUUCCCUUAGUUCUUGGUUCCAUUGUUACACCCCUGUGCAGCCCCUAAUCUCCUCAGUGUGUUCAGCUGUUGCUAAUUGGCCACACCUACUCAGGUGUGGAUUAAAGCAUACCUGAGGCAGGCUUUCGAGAAGCUCACUAGUCUUUGCUUUGGUGGCACCAGACAUUUUAGCCAACCUGCUAUGCCAUUUUAAGAUAAAACCUCUUCUUACUAACACUCAGGUAUUUUUUUUUAUGUUGUCGUAACAUAAGACAUCCCCAGACAAACGAUAAAUCGAGGAAUUGAAUCAAGAACUAGAGGCCUCCCUUUGUUGUGUAAUCCACUUGUAUGUUAGCAAAUGGGUAUAAUUGCUAGCCUGGGUAGAAUACACUCGCAACUUCUUCCGUUACCUUUUUGAGGUUUUUCUAGGCUGGGCUCAACCCGCCUUGUAGGAGGAACUAGCUGUGCCUUCGGUGCACCAACAGCUGUACAGAUGUUGUCAGGUAGGGAGACAGGUCUACGCUCCUCACUGUGGCGCAGAACCACACACUGGCCAAUCGUCAUCAGACUCUGACCCCUCACUAUCGUCAGGGCCAAAAGGUUUAGUUAUCUGUGGACAUUCCUCUAAUGUCUGUUUCCAGGAAACUGGCUCCACACUUCAUCAGCCCCUACAAAAUCAACACAGUUAUCAGUCCUUCUGCUGUUUGCCUAAAACUGCUGCCUAGAAUCCACCUCACAGAUCCCACCCUCCCCGUCCUCACUGUAGGAUGACCUCAUGUCACCACUGAGCGCAGCACAGAUACAACAGGUCCCUAUCAGUCAUGAGCACGCCCACACAUUGCCCCACCGGUUUUUCAAACCCAGGUCAAUCCGUCCCUAGAAUUAAAGGGUGUGCCCGGUGGGAGCGAAUCACAACCUUAACUCUUUGUUUUGCCUUAUUUUUAAUUUUAGCUGAUACCAUUAAAAUAUCUGAAUGUCACUGUGUACAUACUUAAUCUCCACCCUUGAUCAAUGCCCCUGCACUGGAAAAAAUGGCCCUUCAAAAACAAGAAAAAAAAACUUCAUACAAGAGCUUGAAAUAAGUGAAAAAAAGCGCAGCAACUUCAUUGGUAAAGCCCCAUAAACAGAGGACUGCAUUAAAGAAGCCGUUUUGCAGUGACUUUUUGUUCGGCCCUUAAUACACCAGUAAAAUCUGUGCAUUGCACAGGCACAAUUCAAAGCACAGACAAACACACUGCUAGGCAGACUAACUGCUCAACCUGUAACAUUUGUUAUUAAUACAAAGUGUUUUUAUCAUUUAAAUUAACAUGGACAUUUGACAUCAUUCUUCAAACGAUACCAUUGUAAAAUGAUCAUUAAGGAUGCACGCAGCCUGUCUGCUGAAUAGACUGUAGCCUAAACUCAACAUUAAAAAAACCCUUUAAAAUCAACUAAAAGCUAGGCAGUCUCUGCACUGCACAAACCAAACAUAAAACAUCGGCAUGUUCGCCGAUAUUAUCGUGCACCCUUAAUUAUAAAACUGGGCUAACCUGGCCAAUUUCCAAACAAAAAUCAAUCACAACCAACAUGGACUGUAGUAGCCUUGGAAGGAGAGAAGAAGUGUUUUCCUAUAGUCCACAUCUUAACCACACUGGCUCUACUGGCCAAUAAAAGCAUUCCAGUCAGCCAUGCUCUUCUUGUAAGAUGAUGUGAGAUCUCGCUCAUGGAUUUUGUCCAAGAGAACCUCUGUCUGUAUGACGGACAGCGGAGAGGCUACACACUUUGGGUAUGUAAGGUGUAGGGUAUAAUAGUAGGCCAUAAGGUAUAAAGAACCCUCCGUAACCUCGUCUUUUGGAAACGUGGUUAUUGGCACAUCUCCUACCGCUAGGAUGCAGUUGGACGGACUCCCGAUCAGCACUGGGCAGGAGAGAGGACGUUUCAUCAAAUAGGUAUUAGGGUCUUCUUGGUCCUUUAACACAUAACACAGACAUACUUUUGUAAGGACGAUGCACUUUUGUUUCAACACAAAGCUAAAGCUAAAUUACAACAAAAGUUGAAGUUGUGAGAAACUACAUCUGAAUUUGCUAUUUUUAAUUAUUCUCAAUGCAAUUAUUGUUCACAUAUGUCUAGCCUUCCUGAAAAACAGAAAACCAAGGCUACAUUUAAUUGGUUAUCAUUGAGGUGAUAAAAUCUGCUACAACAUAAUACAUGUUUGUAUUUACUGGCCACAGAGAUCUAACCUGUGAGAAUCCGCAUUCCCAAAAUAUGUUUUAGGUACCUUUGAAGGAUUAGAACAUACAGCAUGUGAAUAUGAAACACUUUGGCACUCAUCAGAAGCAGCACAAAGUCACAAAAAUAAAUAAAUAAAAACAAACAAAAAACCCAAAAACAAAAAGCUACGUUUUGCACAGCUCACCUCAAAGACAUGCACCAGAGCCUCACUCGCAUCUCGCAUUAGGCCUAUUGCAAACCUUUUUUUUUUUUUCAUUUCAAAUAAUAAACUUUAACGUAUCCUGGCUGAUAUUGACCCUCUUGUCCCGUUUAUUCUGGGCUCCUGAAAAGUUUGCACAAGUAGUAUAGAGGCCCUUAGCGGUUACUCAGUGGCUUUUGUUCACUACAAUUAUAAAGCAAUUACAGCUAUCAUAACUAUUCACUGUAAUUAUUAUUCACUAUUCAGGGGUGGCUGUUGCUCCGGUGGUAGGUUUCAGCUCUCCGAUGCAUCGAUGGGAGUAUGAAUGUGUGUGUGAAUGUUAAUUAGAAAGCACUUAGAAAAUGUGCUUGUGUGAAUAGAUUAAUGCACAAAUGGUAAAAUGGUAAAUGACCUGUAUUUGUAUAGCGAUUUUUACUAGUCCCCCCUAGGGACCCAAAAGCGCUUUACACACCCAGUCAUCCACCCAUUCACACACACAUUCACACACUGGUGGAGGCAGCUACAGUUGUAGCCACAGCUGCCCUGGGGCCAAGUUGUGUAAAGCGCUGUAGUGCUCAAAAGCACAAAUAAGAACCAGUCCAUAAUUUUAAAUGUAUAACUUAAAAAAUUGCAAUUUUUCUCAACAAAUUUUGGCCUGUCUGUACAGAGAAACCAGAGAAAUUUAGCAAUAACCCCAUGGUCAGCACUCUGCACAGCGAAGAAGCAGCUAGAUAUGGUGGUUAUAUGUCUCUGGAUAUCUAGAUCCCCUUAUCUAUGUUCAUUACAGUAAGUUUCUGAUCAUACGUCUACAUUCGUAUGUAGAUUUCAACCAUCUUAGCCACUGUGAUGUUUAGUUUACACAAACUGGUCCUAAAAGGUCUUGCCUCUGUCAUAUAGUUUACGUCUUACACAAUCACAUGCUAAUAUCAAUAAUUACAAAUAAAGACCUUUCUUUGCUGCAUCACAUAUAAUUCUGAGAUUGUUGUAAAUAUCCCAAAAGGAACCUUUAAAUCAUUCAAGUGCUGGAGGGAACAAAGCCAAAUGUAGGUCAGACAACAAAUUUGCAUUUAGCCUUUUCCAUAAGUAUGUUGAUGAUUUAAGCUUUAAAGAGUGCAGUGGCUUAUCAUGCAUGGGGGGGCUGCACCCAGAAAUUGGUUGCAUAUUGAAGUGACAGUGUUUGAAAUUGAAAGCUGAAUUUCCAAAUACAUCAGGAAAUCAAGACUUCAAACAGUCUGCCUGUGUGUUUGUGUGCAGCCUCUCACAGCAAGAAUGACGGAGGCUUAACCAAUUAUUCAGUCUUAUGAAGCAGUCUUCACUGAGCUUUAGACUUGAAUGUUUUCCUCCAGGGGAAUGAUGCCUCAAGUAUGUGUCUGCUUAAAUAGACUAUUUUCACAUGCGACACUGGAUCCAUGUAAAACCACUUCAGCUACCUCUUACCAAAGUAUACUACGGUAAUGUUAAUUAGUUGAGAUAAACUACUGUGAUGUCUCAGAAUCAUUCAGAAUGAAUAAUUACAGAUUUUUAUAUAACACUCCAGUUUUAAAGGUGUCAAACCCCAAAACACAUCAGCAACAGGGACAGCAGACUGAGCUUUCCUAUGUAGCAUCCUCAGCAUCUUUGGAUCCUGAUCUCUGUUGUUUAUUCCAACUAUAACUCCACCAAUUUAACAAGUGAAUGAACUGGAGUUUUCUCUAAUAUUUGGUGAAAGUGCCUUUUAUGGCUUUAUGAUAGUUAGCUCAGUGCGUAUUCUCUAUCCAUUGUCCCUCUCUCUUGUCUGUAGGGUUCCUGCCUGGGAGGGGAUGGGUCUGGGGUCAGAUGAGGUCUCUAUCACUCUGUCUUCAGCCAUACUAUGGCUGACAGACCUUCACAUCAUCAUAUUGUCACUUCCCACCACCGGUUUAUGUCUGCAUGAGCUCCUUUCACACUUGAAAUUCAGAUCCAGUCUCACGCAGGUGGAACGGACUUGGACGCAGACCAGCUGAAUUUAGAAUGAAAGUCACAAGUUUAUUUACAAUCGGAGAGGGAUUUCCAAGGAUGGAGGGGAAACGGGUCCAAAUCACACUCCUCUUCGGCACUCGUGUUCUCUCCACACCUCACUGCCAGACUCAGGGGAACAGGGCCCUGUUUCAGGAA